AGGAAUCUGCCUGGUAGUGGGGGAUAACGUCCGGAAACGGGCGCUAAUACCGCAUACGUCCUACGGGAGAAAGUGGGGGAUCUUCGGACCUCACGCUAUUAGAUGAGCCUAGGUCGGAUUAGCUAGUUGGUGAGGUAAUGGCUCACCAAGGCGACGAUCCGUAACUGGUCUGAGAGGAUGAUCAGUCACACUGGAACUGAGACACGGUCCAGACUCCUACGGGAGGCAGCAGUGGGGAAUAUUGGACAAUGGGCGAAAGCCUGAUCCAGCCAUGCCGCGUGUGUGAAGAAGGUCUUCGGAUUGUAAAGCACUUUAAGUUGGGAGGAAGGGCAGUUACCUAAUACGUGAUUGUUUUGACGUUACCGACAGAAUAAGCACCGGCUAACUCUGUGCCAGCAGCCGCGGUAAUACAGAGGGUGCAAGCGUUAAUCGGAAUUACUGGGCGUAAAGCGCGCGUAGG
Molecule: ribosomal RNA, 460 nt
Filed under: Pseudomonas sp. c151(2012)
Lineage: Bacteria; Pseudomonadati; Pseudomonadota; Gammaproteobacteria; Pseudomonadales; Pseudomonadaceae
Description: bacterial SSU rRNA
Rfam family: Bacterial small subunit ribosomal RNA
Source: RNAcentral